GCAGUAGCCGCGGUAACACGAAGGGUGCAAGCGUUACUCGGAAUUACUGGGCGUAAAGCGUGCGUAGGUGGUGGUUUAAGUCCGUUGUGAAAGCCCUGGGCUCAACCUGGGAAUUGCAGUGGAUACUGGGUCACUAGAGUGUGGUAGAGGAUAGUGGAAUUUCCGGUGUAGCAGUGAAAUGCGUAGAGAUCGGAAGGAACAUCUGUGGCGAAGGCGACUAUCUGGGCCAACACUGACACUGAGGCACGAAAGCGUGGGGAGCAAACAGGAUUAGAUACCCCAGUAGUCCCUGUCUCUUAUAC
Molecule: ribosomal RNA, 302 nt
Filed under: uncultured bacterium
Lineage: Bacteria
Description: partial 16S ribosomal RNA
Rfam family: Bacterial small subunit ribosomal RNA
Source: RNAcentral